This 460-nucleotide ribosomal RNA is filed under the name uncultured bacterium. Its description in RNAcentral is "bacterial SSU rRNA". It matches the Rfam family "Bacterial small subunit ribosomal RNA", at positions 338 to 795 of the family's 1533-position model. The record is from RNAcentral.
CCUACGGGAGGCAGCAGUGAGGAAUAUUGGACAAUGGAGGAGACUCUGAUCCAGCCAUGCCGCGUGUAGGAAGAAUGCCCUAUGGGUUGUAAACUACUUUUAUACAGGAAGAAACACUGGUAUGUAUACCAGCUUGACGGUACUGUAAGAAUAAGGACCGGCUAACUCCGUGCCAGCAGCCGCGGUAAUACGGAGGGUCCGAGCGUUAUCCGGAAUCAUUGGGUUUAAAGGGUCCGCAGGCGGUCGAUUAAGUCAGAGGUGAAAUCCCAUAGCUCAACUAUGGAACUGCCUUUGAUACUGGUUGACUUGAGUCAUAUGGAAGUAGAUAGAAUGUGUAGUGUAGCGGUGAAAUGCAUAGAUAUUACACAGAAUACCGAUUGCGAAGGCAGUCUACUACGUAUGUACUGACGCUGAGGGACGAAAGCGUGGGGAGCGAACAGGAUUAGAUACCCCAGUAGUC